GCCAACAGCCUGGAUUGGGGCUCUUUCCCAGCCCGUGGGCGCUCUGCAUAUCUCAGAUGUCUCCUGACACAUCUUCCAAGACCAGCUGUGAAGGAGCCAGCUAAUCGUGUUAUGUCAGAGAGAGAGGGGAGGCGGGGAGGGAGCUGCAGGCGGACCUGCCGUGCCUUGGAGCGGUGUGAAUAAUUGAUAAGGCCACUUGAAAGGGCUCACGCUGCAGUGCCCUGCAUCAGCCAGCCCUGCCCUGCUCCCUGCUGCUUGUGCUUUCCUGUGCUCAGAGGAGAGCAGCAGAGUAUCCAUCAGAGCCCACCUGGGCAGGGUCAGCCCAGGCACUGAUUGCCACCAAGGCUGAUCGUGCUGAGGAGGCAUCACCCACAACAGCUCUCCUACGUUGAGGAAUAACUGCAUCUAUGCAGCUGGGUCUGAGCCCUUCCUGCUCUUUGCAGAGACUUGAUUAGGGAGGUACAGUCCUUCCAUCCAGGCAAUCACAGUCAUAUGAUUGCGUGAAACCUACCCAGUGCUGUGUCCAACUUCAUGAAGAAUUUAGUUUGUAAAUGGCCACAUAUUCCUGUCGGAGGCUGACAGACCCCUCAACCAGUCUGAAUCAAGGGCAGGAAUGCUGGAAACCUGCUGCAAUUUGGAUGGGGUCUCUGGAAGACCUGGUGAGCACAGGAGGGGCAGCUGGAUCUUCUGGGGAAGCUAUGGGACUUGAGCUCCUCCUGUGCCGUUUUUUCCACUGCUGGCCAGCAUGCAGGUGCAGUCGCAUCAGCAUCCUGAGAUCUCCAGAGAGGCCAAUGGAAGCUCGUGGUGACAGCUGCCAGCUGUGGGCCCUGGCUUCCUCAGGAGCAGUGGGUCAGGUUAAGAUUCUUUGCAGCUCCCUGCUGUACAUCAUGUCCAUCCAGUGGAGGAUGAAAGGGUCACUGUAUGUCAUGCUGUGGUUCUUCGUGGGGAUGAGGCUGAGUCACUGCAUGGUGUAAGGUGAACUGCUUUGCUAAAAUAGGGGUAAGUAAAGAGGUUGCACAGCAAAGCGUUCCUGUUUUGCCCAAGUAUUUUGCACAAGGGGUUCUUCUGCACCUGCUGGCUGUCCUGCCUAUCCCAGAUGGAAGAGACCAUAUGGGCAGAGCCAGAGCAGCAGUUCUGCUGGAUGACAAACACAGCACCUAUUGCUGAGUGGAAAACCUCAGCUGAGGGCAGGAAGCGGAGCAGCAGUGUUUAUCUGCAGCUUAUCCAGAAUCCUGUUGUGGUUACUUGGAUGAGCAGCGCUGAUCGAUGCUGCUGUGGCCUCUACUCAUGAGUCCACAAGAACAGCCCUGGACAAAGGGCAGUAAAGCACCUCUAGAGCAGAGCUGAGCCCUGGCUCUGUGUUUACAGACUCACAGGGGCCUUGGGCAGGUAAAAGAUGCAUUUCCACCACCUCUGCCUCUUGCUGGGAAGACGACAGGAGGGUCAUUCCCAACCCCUGGCUGCAGGCUCUUUCACUCUCACCCGGCUCAGUCGGUGCAUAAAGGUGCCUCUGUUCAUUUGCAGCCAGAGCGUGCUGUCAUUUUUCUGUGAUUUAGUAAGAUUAAGAAAUGCUCGUCUGUGGUCUGCAGCGAAUGUAUUAACACGUGAUGCCUCCAGGCAUUCCCAUGAACAGAUGCAGACGCAUGGGCUCAGACCCCCAUUUUCUCAGCCAGCAAAGUGGAGAGAGAAGAACAGUGCGUGGGCUAUGGUCCAAACAGGAUCAGACAUAUUCUUCAAGCAAGGACUUUCCAGAAAAAAACGAGACAUCUGAGAUUGGAAGCAAAGGAAGGCUUAACACAUGGGAGAGCUGCAGCCAGGCAUGCUCAGAUCUCUGUGCCCAAAGAAAGGAGCACUGCAGGGGCUUCGCCAUACAGCAGUAGUCACCUCCUUUCCUUUGAGCUCUGGCAGAGCAGGGAGGAGGAGCCUCACACCCUUUGCCCCAUGCUUUUGCAAAUGCAACUGCUUUCUCCAGGCACCUUGUGAAGAGUAUUCCUAGCAAAGACAUCACGUCUGGGCUCCUCACAGCUCCAAGGAGAUUUCGCUCCGACGGAGUGAUUUGUUCCUGAAUGAGUUCCAUGUCACUCCCUGCUCCAGCCUAGUCCUGUUCACUUGUUCAGAGGACAGUGCUGCUUUGUAGACUUCUCCAGACAAAUGCUCAGUGAUGUCAGUUCCUGGCUGUCUCCUGCCAGUGCCAUUCCCAAGACGUUAUUCUGGAAUUCCAGGGAGAUGGGAGAUCCUCCAGAGGAUAAUCCAGUUCAUGGGAUGGCCAGGAGCACAGAUAGAACUAGGACUGGUCAGGAGCAUGCGUUUAUAGAGAAUGUUUGGAGCUGGCUCAAGCUGGAGGUGUGGAGGUCUAGUCCUUUAUCAUCAUCAUCACUUUGUGAAGGGCUCAUUUCUGGAUGGCUGAUAGUAGCUUUUGUCAUCUCCACACCGCGGGCAGCCCUCUGGAUAGUGAAAAUAAAAUGCAGAGCAUCCCUCCUGGAGCUGAAUGC
This is a long non-coding RNA of Phasianus colchicus (ring-necked pheasant), 2492 nucleotides long. The record is from Ensembl. Lineage: Eukaryota; Metazoa; Chordata; Aves; Galliformes; Phasianidae.